This is a long non-coding RNA of Ipomoea nil (Japanese morning glory), 532 nucleotides long. RefSeq lists it as uncharacterized. The record is from RefSeq and is a predicted model, not a curated record. Lineage: Eukaryota; Viridiplantae; Streptophyta; Magnoliopsida; Solanales; Convolvulaceae. The transcript has 2 exons.
AUUUGAAGGAUAAACGCUUUAAAGCGAGUUAAAGAGCAAGCUGCUCUCGAAGGACGAAAGUUGGAUGAGGUAGUUGAAGAAUUGUGGGGUUCAUUGAGUCAACUAGCUGUUUCUGUUGCAUCCCGCAAAGUUGCCCCAAACCAUGCUCAUCUUCAUGCCAUCAAAAGUAGAAGGGGUGUAAUGGGAGAGUGAUCUGUUGAGAAGGUAAUUCUCUAAAUUAACUACUUUAGUCACCUUAAUUCUAUGUCAUAUGUGUGUUUUGUCUUAAUGUAUUCUAAUGUUUUAUUGAUUCUUGUUUCUUCCAACUCCCAUACUUCGUAUAAGCAUUGUCCUUAAAAUCUCUAGAUUCAAUUUUUUUUUAAUAAAUAAUUGUUGACUCUGGGUUGUUUGAUUGGAAGUUUUCUAACUUUAAUGACUUUCUAUACUAUGAGGAUUAUUGGGUUUUUGUCUUGUGACCUUAAAAUAGUUGAAUUUUGAUGGGUGUCUAAGUUUUCAAUCUGUAUUAGGCUGGUUUGGUGCACAGCGUUCAUUU